CCCUUAGAGUUUGAUCCUGGCUCAGGAUGAACGCUGGCGGCGUGCUUAACACAUGCAAGUCGAACGAAGCACUUUACCUGAUUUCCUUCGGGGAUGAUUGUUCUGUGACUGAGUGGCGGACGGGUGAGUAACGCGUGGAUAACCUGCCUCACACAGGGGGAUAACAGUUGGAAACGACUGCUAAUACCGCAUAAGCGCACAGCACCGCAUGGUGCAGUGUGAAAAACUCCGGUGGUGUGAGAUGGAUCCGCGUCUGAUUAGCUUGUUGGCGGGGUAACGGCCCACCAAGGCGACGAUCAGUAGCCGGCCUGAGAGGGCGACCGGCCACAUUGGGACUGAGACACGGCCCAGACUCCUACGGGAGGCAGCAGUGGGGAAUAUUGCACAAUGGGGGAAACCCUGAUGCAGCGACGCCGCGUGAGCGAUGAAGUAUUUCGGUAUGUAAAGCUCUAUCAGCAGGGAAG
Molecule: ribosomal RNA, 464 nt
Filed under: uncultured bacterium
Lineage: Bacteria
Description: bacterial SSU rRNA
Rfam family: Bacterial small subunit ribosomal RNA
Source: RNAcentral